Molecule: long non-coding RNA, 231 nt
Filed under: Pan troglodytes (chimpanzee)
Lineage: Eukaryota; Metazoa; Chordata; Mammalia; Primates; Hominidae
Description: long non-coding RNA NONPTRT007812
Source: RNAcentral
GAAAUGAAGAUGUUUUGAAAUAAGUGUUCACAGGCAGUUCUCUGUAAAAGCUUUGGUGUCCCCAGAAAUUCAUACCCAUCUUUUACAGUUGCCAAGAACUAUUGUCAUGAGAUCAAAAUCGCUGUGACCCUCAGUGUUCACCAGAAUCCAAACAGUUAUAAACUGCAAUAUACAUUUCACUAAGAGGGAACAUUUAUCAUGUGUGCCCUUGCAGUGUCUUUAAGUUGCCUG